AUUGAACGCUGGCGGCAGGCCUAACACAUGCAAGUCGAGCGGAUGAAGGGAGCUUGCUCCUGGAUUCAGCGGCGGACGGGUGAGUAAUGCCUAGGAAUCUGCCUGGUAGUGGGGGAUAACGUCCGGAAACGGGCGCUAAUACCGCAUACGUCCUGAGGGAGAAAGUGGGGGAUCUUCGGACCUCACGCUAUCAGAUGAGCCUAGGUCGGAUUAGCUAGUUGGUGGGGUAAAGGCCUACCAAGGCGACGAUCCGUAACUGGUCUGAGAGGAUGAUCAGUCACACUGGAACUGAGACACGGUCCAGACUCCUACGGGAGGCAGCAGUGGGGAAUAUUGGACAAUGGGCGAAAGCCUGAUCCAGCCAUGCCGCGUGUGUGAAGAAGGUCUUCGGAUUGUAAAGCACUUUAAGUUGGGAGGAAGGGCAGUAAGUUAAUACCUUGCUGUUUUGACGUUACCAACAGAAUAAGCACCGGCUAACUGCGU
Molecule: ribosomal RNA, 483 nt
Filed under: uncultured bacterium
Lineage: Bacteria
Description: partial 16S ribosomal RNA
Rfam family: Bacterial small subunit ribosomal RNA
Source: RNAcentral